Molecule: long non-coding RNA, 965 nt
Filed under: Chinchilla lanigera (long-tailed chinchilla)
Lineage: Eukaryota; Metazoa; Chordata; Mammalia; Rodentia; Chinchillidae
Description: lncRNA (ENSCLAG00000026683.1)
Source: RNAcentral
UCCUCUGUCUCAAUGAUUUGCUUUAGGGGAGGUGUGACUUUUGGAAAUAUGGAAAAGAAAAAGGAGACAUUUGGCAUGUUUGUCCAUGUGGCGUGAAAAAUAUAAAGGGGAGGAGUGGAGACACAGGAAAAAGUGAAGAAAUAAAUCAACAAAGGAGAUAAUUAGAUAUUCACUCGGAUCCUCAUUUCUUCCCCCAGCAGCAAGAGCUACUCUUUAAAACUUGAAUUGAGAAAUGAAGAGGCCAAAUGAGGAGGAUUUAAAAGGCCUUUAGCCAAGAGCAUCUCAACAGGACAAACAAGCAUACUGUGAAAUACACCUGUCACCGCCCUGUAGUAGUCACCUCAGUGCCCGGGGACCAGGUCACGGUGGACCCAGGCCUGGAGGUGUGGUCUGUGACUUCCAAGUCUGUCUCUGUUUGACGAAGGAGGGACAGUAGGCAGCCCUCCUUGGUGUAGUCCCAGUGACAGACCACCACCAUCCUCUUCACACAUGGACCGGAAGCCCUCAGGAGGCCUUGCCAAUGCUCCUGUCCCAUCCUGCCUCCACAGAGGGCCUCAGGAGAAUGGUUCACAGCAACAAGCACACUCCUGCAGCAGGUCAGCUGCUGUCAAGCCACUGCCAGCCCACCUGGGCUCAACACUGGGUGGCACAGGCCAGAGUGGCUUCUGAACUGUGCCUGCUGUUUGCUGUGAGACAAGAUCCAUCACCAGGUAAAUUCAGAACACUUUUCUCUCCAGUCUCCCUGAUACCUGACCCCAACAUUUUAUUUAAACCUCACCUAGCCCCAUGAGUUAGGUGCUGUGUUAUUAUUCCCCUCUUACACACAAGAAAUUCAAGGUAUUGCAAGUUAGGCAACUUGAUCAACAUUCACAAAGAUGUGCAUCUCAGCCUAAAUUAUAAUAACAAAAUAAAUAUCUAACAGUAGGCAAGUUAUAUGUAAUUAAUUAUAAUGUGUUCAUUUGGUG